RNAcentral lists this ribosomal RNA (253 nucleotides) under uncultured bacterium. RNAcentral describes it as "partial 16S ribosomal RNA". It matches the Rfam family "Bacterial small subunit ribosomal RNA", at positions 524 to 776 of the family's 1533-position model. The record is from RNAcentral.
UACGAAGGGGGCUAGCGUUGCUCGGAAUCACUGGGCGUAAAGCGCACGUAGGCGGAUUGCUAAGUCAGGGGUGAAAUCCUGGAGCUCAACUCCAGAACUGCCUUUGAUACUGGCGAUCUUGAGUCCGGGAGAGGUGAGUGGAACUGCGAGUGUAGAGGUGAAAUUCGUAGAUAUUCGCAAGAACACCAGUGGCGAAGGUGGCUCACUGGCCUGGUACUGACGCUGAGGUGCGAAAGCGUGGGGAGCAAACAGG